GGUAUCUGAUAAAUAGAGCUAAUAUGGACUUGUGUGCUAUACCAGGCCCAGUACCAUUCGAGCUUAAUCCUUGUAGUUUGAGGGCCAUCCAAAAUUACAUGCACAAAGGCGACAAGUAACCUGCAUUUGGUUGGGUGUUUUUAUGUUUGUUUUUCCUUGUAAUCGUACGGAGCUAAAUCAGAAAUCUAAAAGUCAGUCAUCAGAUAGUUACUGAGCUCCAACUGUAUGCCAGGUACUUUUACAGAAAUGUUAGCAAUUAAAUCCAAGUUGUAAUGACUUAGAUAAGGCCUUCAAGGCUUGCCAUAGUCACACGGCAACCUUAAUAUCUUAAGUUUUCCACAUAGCAAUCAAGAUUCUACUGAAAAGCUGUUGGAGUGUGGGAUAAUCACAUAACCACUGAAACCACCAACUUCAGGAUAGUGUUUAAUGUCUGCCCCAGUAUCUGCAUAACGGUGCAGUAAUGAAGGCCAAAAGGAGAAACUAUUUGGAGGACUAAAGACAACUGCUUUCUCAUUUCAUGAAAAUGAUUAUGCAGAAACCCUGGCAGGAGAGAGCAGAUGAUUGCAAAUUUAUUCCCACUCCUAGAAAAAAUAUUCCUGAGUGGAUGCAUAACAGCUCCAGCUUUGCUUCGAAGACUAAUGAACAAUGUAUCAACACAAAUGGGUAUGUUCGUCUGGCCUCAGAUGUGGCUUUCAAAUAGAGCAGCAGAGUCCUUUCUGGGAGUACCUGGGAUUGAAUCAUGGAGAAGACAAACAGCCAGAAGAGAAUUUGAGGAAAAAUUAUGCACUCUCGAAGAAAUAUGGAAUGGUGAACAGUCUUCUGACAAAAAAAGCCAAAAGAAUCAGAUCGCAGUUCCUUCUCAGAUAUUAUUAGAUUCAAUACUAUUUAAUGUUAUAUGUUAA
RNAcentral lists this long non-coding RNA (902 nucleotides) under Canis lupus familiaris (dog). Its description in RNAcentral is "lncRNA (ENSCAFG00030008821.1)". The record is from RNAcentral. Lineage: Eukaryota; Metazoa; Chordata; Mammalia; Carnivora; Canidae.